ACCACCACUGUAGGUGGUCUCUUGUCCUGCUCCAUGUAUACACAGUCUCACACCUACCACCACUGUAGGUGGUCUCUUGUCCUGCUCCAUGUAUACACAGUCUCACACCUACCACCACUGUAGGUGGUCUCUUGUCCUGCUCCAUGUAUACACAGUCUCACACCUACCACCACUGUAGGUGGUCUCUUGUCCUGCUCCAUGUAUACACAGUCUCACACCUACCACCACUGUAGGUGGUCUCUUGUCCUGCUCCAUGUAUACACAGUCUCACACCUACCACCACUGUAGGUGGUUUCUUGUCCUGCUCCAUGUAUACACAGUCUCACACCUACCACCACUGUAGGUGGUCUCUUGUCCUGCUCCAUGUAUACACAGUCUCACACCUACCACCACUGUAGGUGGUCUCUUGUCCUGCUCCAUGUAUACACAGUCUCACACCUACCACCACUGUAGGUGGUCUCUUGUCCUGCUCCAUGUAUACACAGUCUCACACCUACCACCACUGUAGGUG
This is a long non-coding RNA of Oncorhynchus keta (chum salmon), 511 nucleotides long. RefSeq lists it as uncharacterized. The record is from RefSeq and is a predicted model, not a curated record. Lineage: Eukaryota; Metazoa; Chordata; Actinopteri; Salmoniformes; Salmonidae. The transcript is spliced from 4 exons.